This 1025-nucleotide long non-coding RNA is filed under the name Pan troglodytes (chimpanzee). RNAcentral describes it as "lncRNA (ENSPTRG00000053129.1)". Lineage: Eukaryota; Metazoa; Chordata; Mammalia; Primates; Hominidae. The record is from RNAcentral.
GUGCUUGUUCAUAAAAAGUGAAACACCCAGAAUUCUUCCAGUAAAGUAUCUGUCUUGUUUGAAGCCUGUCUGAGAAGGUGCAUCACCAGGAAUGCUUCACAGGCUUUGUUAUGAUACAAUUGCAUUUUUAACACACCCCUGUGCGUAAAGGUCUCUGCUUCAUUGAGUGUCUGGGCUCCAUACUGGGACAGGUCAACAACAUCCCUGAAGUCCUGAACCAGCCAGUCUCAGAAAAUGGGCCAGCUCCUUACUACUCCCACACAAUGUAAGAGCUUGUUUCCAAAGAGCAGAGAAAAUGGACUAAGAUCCACAGGAGGGAUGACAGAUGGAUUCUGUCGCAUUGCCAGAGACAUGAAAUUGCAGAUGACCCCUAAAAAUCUACAUCCUCUAUAAAUCCAUCUAGAUUGAUCAGAAAGAGAUUAAUGAUUUUUACUGGACCCAAUUUAUCUCAACCUCGAAGUUUAAGCUCUACUCCUCUUAUUCUUCAACCCCCAGCAAAAAAUUUGCAAUUGACUUCUUUCCAACUUGCAGAUGACCAGAAUAUCCUGUGAAUAAUUCUAUUGCCCCUGGAUGCAUCUGUGCAACAUUCUUAUUCUGUUUUAUACAGUAGUCCCCUUAUCCACAGCUUCUCUGUCCAUGGUUUCAGCUACCUGUGGUAGACUGUGAUCUGAAAAUACUAAAUAAAAAUGUUCAGAAAGGAAUAAUUUAUAAGUUUUAAAUUGGGUGCCAUUCUGAUAUUAUUAUAGUUGUUUUGGCUUAUUAUUAUUAUUAUUAAUCUCUCACUGUGCCUGAUUUAUAAACUAAACUUUAUCAUAGGUAUGUAUGUACAGGAAAAACACAGUACAUAUAGGGUUCAAUACUAUCUGUGGUUUCAGGCAUCUACUGGGGGUCUUGGAAUGUAUCCUUCAUAAACAAUGAGAGACCACUGCAAAUCUUUUGUUUUUCUGUAUCACUGUAAAUUUAUUCAGAUUCUAAACCAUUGGAAGAUAUGAAUCCUCAGACAUUAUAGCUACAGCAUCAUGUAA